Long non-coding RNA from Mesocricetus auratus (golden hamster), 5727 nucleotides. RefSeq lists it as uncharacterized. Lineage: Eukaryota; Metazoa; Chordata; Mammalia; Rodentia; Cricetidae. The record is from RefSeq and is a predicted model, not a curated record. The transcript has 2 exons.
ACUCUGCCUUCCUAGUAACUGGGAUUAAAGGCAUAUGCCACCACCAUCCGGCGAUCUGUAUUUUUUAUGGUGUUAUUUGAUAACUACCUUUAGCUUAUGUGUAUGCAAACAAUGUAUAUAUGGCCUAUAGUACUGACCACACACACACACAUAAAAAAAGCAACAGGAUUUUGGAGUCAGAGAAUUUAGAUUUGUUUUCUUCCUAAACAUUAAGAUUCACAUGUACUUGAUGUACUGUUAAAGAAAAAUACAGCUCUUCAAAUUCUCUCAACCCCUUCAAGUUCUCUUUGUUGUUGUUUUGAGACAGAGUCUCAUUAUCUGUCACUGGCUGGCCUGGAACUCAGUGCCUCUGCCUCUGGAGUGCUGGGAAUAAAGGCAUGUGCCACCACACCUGGCCUCAGGUACUCUUAAGGAAGCAGCUAUCCACGACACCCUGUAGCACACACGCUGUCAUCUGGAUGCAGGGCUCGCCCCAGUCCCCGCACACUGUGAGUUUUCUUGUGCCUUUGGCCAUCAUUACUCACUGUACCCGGAGCAAAUGGAUUCAGGCACUCUGAUGCUUGUGACAAGGUUCCAGGCUUUUGUGGGGAGAAAACUGUUUUUGUUUUUGCCUUUUCUGGUGCCAGAUUACAUUGUGCAUGUAAGUGUCACACAAGACCCAAGUAGUCCCAACCUGCAGAGGCUCUGACAUGCAAUCAGAUACUCUGGGCACGACUGUGAUUUUGAGGCAGCUGUUGUGGUACAACUUUCCAUACGUAAAGGUCUGGGAUUGGUGUCUUGUUGCUUGUGGGGAGGGGCCAGGGCAGCCCAGUGUUUUAGACAUAGCAGCAGUGGGGAGGGGGAAGAGGUCUCCCCCUUCCUCAGUUAGCACCCUUGAAAAGAAAGUUACUCUUGGAUCCUUGUGUUCCUCAUUCCACCAUGAAAUCAUUGAUCUGCCAUUUUCACAGGGUUGCCAUGUCAACCAAAUGAGAUGGUGUGUAUCAGCACAGCUGGGCAUCCAUAGCACCGUAUGGGGCUAUCCGAUACCAUAUUGCUGCAAAUCCAGGUUUCUAAACAACUCCUUGGAAAGAUGGCGUAUACACUUUCUAAAAACAUAAGUACGUUGUUUUAUUCACUGCAGCUUUGGGUACUUUUCAUGAUCUUGGCCUACAUUAAAAAAGAUGCAAGACAAACUUGUUAGGCCAACAUGGUAAGUGUUUGUGGUCUCUAAAAUGAAGUUGUAAGUCAGGUUAUUAAGAAAUGCAGUAGGUGAUGGGAAACCUUGGGUCCAUCUAACUUUCUUCUGUCAUGCGUGUGUUCCAGAUGUGAUCCAUGGUCUUUCUGUGUAUGGACUUUUAAAAGACAUUACUUGAUUCAUUGAAGUACUUAUCAUCUGAACAGACAGCCUUCUCUUCUACUCUGCCCUUGAAUUUGGAGCAUAUGCAUCUUCUUAAAUGUUUGGCAAGUUCACUGUGGAACCUUAGCUGUCUAGGUUAAUUUACCAGUAAUUUCCUGGGGAAGUCCCGUUAGCAGUUAGUAGACGCUCUCAGAUUGCCUCCCUCUGUCCUUGGAGAAAAUGGAACUACUGUAUCCCUAAGUCUGAGGUUUGAUUAAGAAUCAGUAUUCAGUUCAUUGCUCUAAAACCUAAAGGGAAAAAAGAACCUUGUUUUAGCAAGUUUGUUUGUAGAGGGAAUAUUAUGUAGUGAGUGCUACAAAAAUGACCCCUUUUAAACAUUUACAAAAACUUUCAGGAUGAGUGGGUUUCACGUCUGUGAUCUAUUUGGAUGGAGACUUUCCAGCCAUGAGAGCACACGUGUUAUAUACAUGUUGUGGAAGGUAUGAGGUGGUACACUGAUACCGAUACCUAAGUGGUGGAGGUACUUCCUUUGUUACAGUUAACCGCCCUGGAAAAUCUGCCUGUCUCCCGCCCCGCGUGGAGACAGUGAUGUUCUUAGCAUUAGCUCUCAGUGGCCCUGCCAUCCCUCCCUUGCUUUCUGAGGUAGUACACAUUUGGCUGAUCCCCCCCCCCAACGUCCCCUGAAUGAACAUGCACUACACACCUGUGCACUGAGCACUUGACGGUGCAGGACAUGGAAAGCCAUGGAGCAAGAAGCCUGUGACCUGUGGCUGUUGUGGAAUAUCCCUUUACACUGUGUGAAAAUAUGUCACUGUGACUGUGUAAUUGAAAUGGCCAACAGCGGGGCAGGAUUUUCAGGGCAGAGAGGAUGCUGGGAAGAAGGAGGAGACGCCAGGAGCUGCAAAGCAAGUAGGAUGGGCAGGAAGGAAAUGAGUAGAAAUGGGUUAGUUUAAGUUAUAAGGGCUAGUUAGAAACAAGCCUAAGCUAUCGGCUGAGCUUUCAUAAUUUUAAAAAAAAAUCACAUGACCUCUACCUGUGUGUCCGGAAGUCUAGAGCAGAAUGCAAACAUUUAACAGAGGAGCAAUAGUUGUUAUUUAAUUGCUAUCACUGUGUGCACUACAAAGGGGAAAUAAGGCAUUGUGGGCAAUUUAAUGACUCCUCACAUCUUUGGUGGUUGGUUAGAAGCCUUCUUCCUGAAGAAGGAAUGUUUCUGAUAAGAGUCAAAUGACUCAAUAUGGAGAGUGAAAGAAAGGUCGUUAACUUCUGAAUGUGCCUUUUGUCAGAAGUAGGAGUACCUUAGUUGUGAUGGUCUUUAGUUUUUCGCUUAAUUGAGACAGCUUCAUGUAGACCCAGGCAUUUUGACUCUCAGCUACCAACAUGUACCGCUGUGCCCAGAUUUAUGGGGUGGGGAUCGAACUCAGGACUUGUUCGUGCAUGCUAGGCAAGCACUCUGCUAAUCAAGCUACAUACCCCGCCCACAUUUCUGAUAGUCUUUAUUUUGUAUUCAUCUUUUUUAAAGAUGCAAGUGUUUUUUAUUUGUGUGUUUAUUGUGCAUGCCUGUGUGAGUUUAUGUGUUCCACAUGUAUGCAGGUGCCCCUGUAAGCCAAACGAGGACAGCACAUCCCAUGGAAUGGCCCAAUGUGGGCUCUCUGCAAGAACAUUAAGUACUGUUAACCAUCUUUAACCAUCCAUCACUGGCCAUCUCUUCAGUUCCUUCUGGUGGACUUAAUGUCAAAGACUAGAGUGCCUUGAUCACUCCAAAUUCUUGAUUUCAGAAAAGCAGACGAAAAUGCCUACCCGCAUAGGUCUAGAUAGAAAGGUCUGAGCAGUGCUCUUGCAGUUGGAAAUAGUAACCAGAAAUGGUGGAUGUGGCUGCACACACAAAUGAUUCCCGGACGUCUGGACACCCUUGCCUUCUACCUUGCCCUCAGCCGGCCCUGGUAGGUUCCCGCAUGUUCUCCAGCCUGCCUUCCAGUCAUCUCCGUCACUUGUGGCUCUUGGAAUGCUGUGGAUACCGAGAAGAAGCUCUUCCGACCUUAUGGGUCACCUCCGUCACCCUGAGGUGAUGUAGCCCUUGAUGGGAAGCAGAAGCCUAAAGAGUCCCAUAAACUACUGAAUGGGAGCUCAGAGUGGACUGAACCCUAAGUGUCCCCAGAAGAUCCUCUUCUCACAAAAUCAGAAAACGAAUUUGAUGAGUGAGGUGGAAUGCCCAAGCCCUCAUCUGUUUGUCUCCUCCUUGGCAGAAACUCUGGAUACACACUUGGGACACCUAUAAAUCGUAUGAUAGGACAUAACAUGGCAUGCUGAAAUAAUGCAGUAGAACACGAUGAAAUCAGAAUGUGUCAUGCUGCAUGUUCUUUAACAACAGCGCACUUACUCCAUCAGAACAUGACAAUGAAGUGCUUUUCUGUCCAGCAGACUGUCAUACAUGACGCUGUUGCAGUAGUAAGUCUUUGUCCUGAUGUCAAUGUGAUCGCAGUGUCCCCUCCUGCACACGCCUGCUGAAUAGCUGUGUGACCUUCAGCCGGCUUCUUAGACUGCAAACUCAGCUUAGCAGUGCCUGCCCUCGCCUAUCUGAUAGUAGUAUCUUGAUGUCUGAGAUGAGACAGCCUGUGAAAGUCCUUGGAGGUGAAAGUGUGUCUGACUGCCCUGGCCUGUUAACUCUCACCACACCCCCACGUUCUUCUAUUUCUCCUCUUUGAUCCUAGAGCCGCGUGCUCACUGGGCAAGCACUUACUGAGCUGUAGCCCUUAGCUUCCUCCUCUUGCUGAAAAAGUGCCUACCCAGCGAUUUCAGGCAGGGUCCUUCCUCUUCUGAGUCGCCUAAGCCUGAGUGAAUGGCUGCAGAGGGUUUUCUGACUCCUGCUUCCUGGCUCACAGCGUAGGCUGAAAGGAAGACGUGUGAGACCCACGCUCACUUCUGCCUUCGGCACUGUGGUCUCUUGGUAAAGGCUUCUUUCUGUGCACCUGCGUCCCGUGAGAAGUUUGCGGGGAAGCUCUGGCAGUCAACAAGUGACUCUACAGACCAGCUUGCUCAGCCACUGAGUCACUGUGAUGUGAGACUCUUGAAGUGAGCAUCGAUGCAUGACAGGGAGAAGUAGUGGUUUAGUGAAAACAGUCUCUGCUCUGAGCAGAUGCUUUAGUGGCUAGCUCAUUGUGAAACAGUAAGAACCAGAGUUAGUGGAAAUCCAUAAAGCCGUGUAUGACUAGUCUAUAAACAAGGUCUGAAUAGUCAGUCAGUUACCUUUCUGCCCCUUGCCCCGUUUUGCUGACUAGCUGCUAUCUGGCUGAUAAGGGAGACUGGCCUGGGAAAUAAAAACCUGUUUCAUACCCUGGCUCCGCCAGGCUGUGACUUUGGGCCCAUCUUGCAACUUCUGUACUUUGGUCUUCUCAUUGCUAAGAUGGGACAGCAGUAGUAUUUGUCCUGUGAACCUCAGUGAGCAAUUGUGCAUAAAGCAAAAUGUAGACAGAUGUGUUUUGAACCACCCCAUCCCCCCACCCUCACCCCUGCCCAAAAGAAGUGAAAGGUGAUUGUGCUGUAGCUGUUGGAGACUAACGGUCCAUCCGUGUGACAGUGCGUAUGUAAGUAGUCAGCACACUGCUGAAGACUAAAAGGUACUCUCCAGUCCUUCUCCAGAGAAGACGAAGGAAAUUCUGAGCUUUUGGAGCUUGGAGGAGGAGACACAUCCUCUAUUUGAAUGUUUUAAAUGAAUCAUGGAACACUAGAUCUCACAGAAAUCAGUUCAGUAGCUGAGUUUCCAGACUAGUCACUUAAAUGGUUAAGCAUAAGUAGUUUAUUUCGGUCCAGUUUCUCUUACGCAGUGAAACCGCCCACUGGUUGCACGGAUAUUUGUCUGUGAGAGGGGAUUUGCAGGACUUAGCUGAGAUCCAGGUGAGAGAUUCUGAAGCCCCUUCUCUCUGGGUUUCCCUGCUUCCUUCCCGUGUGCCUGAGGCUUGCUUAAGGCAGGCCUGUAAAUACCAGCUGGAACUUCAGUCCCCUGCCCCAGAGUCAGGGUUGACACUUCCUCCGUAACGAGCCUGGUCACCUCAUGCAGUUAGAAGAGGUGGCUCCUUUGGCUCUGCACCUCAGCAAGGCUAAAGAAAGGACUUACCCAGGUCACCUUGCUGCUCUCAAGGAACCAAUCGCAGUCAAGCUUCACAACUGUUCUCCUGCACACAACUCAAGGCUUUUCCUCACGGUGUUGCUACGCUCUCUUAGGAUAUAGCUGCGAGCUGAAAGAGGUUUGAGACGUUUAAUCUAAGCAAAACCUGUCCCUCCACACUCAUCUGUGUAAAGCGAGGAUCCCAUUAGCCUUAUCUGUUUGAGAAAAGAAUAUUGUUAUAUAUGUGUAACUUUUAUACGAAAAUAAAAUAAAAUUGACUCUUGUAAAA